This 447-nucleotide ribosomal RNA is filed under the name uncultured bacterium. RNAcentral describes it as "bacterial SSU rRNA". It matches the Rfam family "Bacterial small subunit ribosomal RNA", at positions 355 to 825 of the family's 1533-position model. The record is from RNAcentral.
UCGGGAAUUUUGGGCAAUGGGCGAAAGCCUGACCCAGCAACGCCGCGUGAAGGAUGAAGUAUUUCGGUAUGUAAACUUCGUAAGAAUAGGAAGAAUAAAUGACGGUACUAUUUGUAAGGUCCGGCUAACUACGUGCCAGCAGCCGCGGUAAUACGUAGGGACCAAGCGUUGUUCGGAUUUACUGGGCGUAAAGGGCGCGUAGGCGGUGUGUCAAGUCAGUUGUGAAAUCUCCGAGCUUAACUCGGAACGGUCAACUGAUACUGUCACACUAGAGUACAGAAGGGGCAAUCGGAAUUCUUGGUGUAGCGGUGAAAUGCGUAGAUAUCAAGAGGAACACCUGAGGCGAAGGCGGGUUGCUGGGCUGAUACUGACGCUGAAGCGCGAAAGCUAGGGUAGCAAACGGGAUUAGAUACCCAUGUAGUCCCUGAGCGGGCUGGCAAGGCGCAU